RNAcentral lists this ribosomal RNA (322 nucleotides) under uncultured eukaryote. RNAcentral's name for it is "partial 18S ribosomal RNA". It matches the Rfam family "Eukaryotic small subunit ribosomal RNA", at positions 1470 to 1796 of the family's 1831-position model. The record is from RNAcentral.
CCCUUAGAUGUUCUGGGCCGCACGCGUGCUACACUGAGUGGAUCAGCGGGUCAGGUUGCGCGAAAGUGUUUCCUAAUCUUUAAAUCCGCUCGUGAUGGGGAUUGACGGUUGCAAUUUUCCGUCAUGAACGAGGAAUACCUUGUAAGCGCGGGUCAUCAUCCCGCGCUGAAUACGUCCCUGCCCUUUGUACACACCGCCCGUCGCUCCUACCGAUUGAGUGGUCCGGUGAGUCUUUGGGAUCUGAGCGGAAAGAGCGUUUCGCUGUUUCUGCCCGGAAAACUCAGUCGAACCUUAUCAUUUAGAGGAAGGAGAAGUCGUAACA